RNAcentral lists this unclassified non-coding RNA (352 nucleotides) under fungal sp. RNAcentral's name for it is "partial internal transcribed spacer region". The stretch from base 1 to 46 matches the Rfam family "Eukaryotic small subunit ribosomal RNA", at positions 1786 to 1831 of the family's 1831-position model. The record is from RNAcentral. Lineage: Eukaryota; Fungi.
AAGUCGUAACAAGGUUUCCGUAGGUGAACCUGCGGAAGGAUCAUUACAAAAAUAACAAAACGCCGGGACGUUGACGCACGCGCGCCCGCCCGCCAGGGAAAGCACGGGGUCCGGAAGUGAUCCGGCCGCAUGAUUUACUGGCAGGCAGGUCCGGGUGCGAUCCGGGCCCGGCGUUUGACCGACAGCCCUCUGUGAAAACCCCUUGUUGCUUCGGCAGCUCCUCCCUACCUGUGGGAAGCGGUCAGCCUGCCGGUGGCACUCAGGAAACCCCAUUCUUAGAAACCAGUACGCUUCGUCUGAAAGGUGCAGUCGAAUGACUAUAAAACUUUCAACAACGGAUCUCUUGGUUCCC